RNAcentral lists this ribosomal RNA (253 nucleotides) under uncultured bacterium. RNAcentral's name for it is "partial 16S ribosomal RNA". It matches the Rfam family "Bacterial small subunit ribosomal RNA", at positions 524 to 776 of the family's 1533-position model. The record is from RNAcentral.
UACGUAGGUGGCAAGCGUUGUCCGGAAUUACUGGGUGUAAAGCGCGUGUAGGCGGCAGACCAAGUCGGCGGUGAAAGCGCCCGGCUCAACUGGGCGAGGUCCGUGGAAACUGGUCAGCUGGAGGACGGUAGAGGCGAGUGGAAUUCCCGGUGUAGUGGUGAAAUGCGUAGAGAUCGGGAGGAACACCUGUGGCGAAGGCGGCUCGCUGGGCCGGUCCUGACGCUGAGACGCGAAAGCGUGGGGAGCAAACAGG